GGCCGCGGGAAUUCGAUUGAGUUUGAUCAUGGCUCAGGAUGAACGCUGGCGGCGUGCUUAACACAUGCAAGUCGAGCGGAUGACGGGAGCUUGCUCCUUGAUUCAGCGGCGGACGGGUGAGUAAUGCCUAGGAAUCUGCCUGGUAGUGGGGGACAACGUUUCGAAAGGAACGCUAAUACCGCAUACGUCCUACGGGAGAAAGCAGGGGACCUUCGGGCCUUGCGCUAUCAGAUGAGCCUAGGUCGGAUUAGCUAGUUGGUGGGGUAAUGGCUCACCAAGGCGACGAUCCGUAACUGGUCUGAGAGGAUGAUCAGUCACACUGGAACUGGGACACGGUCCAGACUCCUACGGGAGGCAGCAGUGGGGAAUAUUGGACAAUGGGCGAAAGCCUGAUCCAGCCAUGCCGCGUGUGUGAAGAAGGUCUUCGGAUUGUAAAGCACUUUAAGUUGGGAGGAAGGGCAGUAAGCUAAUACCUUGCUGUUUUGACGUUACCGACAGAAUAAGCACCGGCUAACUCUGUGCCAGCAGCCGCGGUAAUACAGAGGGUGCAAGCGUUAAUCGGAAUUACUGGGCGUAAAGCGUGCGCAGGCGGUUUUGUAAGACAGGCGUGAAAUCCCCGGGCUUAACCUGGGAAUUGCG
Molecule: ribosomal RNA, 639 nt
Filed under: uncultured Gammaproteobacteria bacterium
Lineage: Bacteria; Pseudomonadati; Pseudomonadota; Gammaproteobacteria
Description: partial 16S ribosomal RNA
Rfam family: Bacterial small subunit ribosomal RNA
Source: RNAcentral